AAAAUCCGUCGACUUUAAAAAUCGUGAGGGUUCAAGUCCCUCUAUCCCCAAAAAGGGCCUUUAUCCUAUCCC
This 72-nucleotide transfer RNA is filed under the name Antirrhinum majus (snapdragon). RNAcentral's name for it is "partial tRNA-Leu". The record is from RNAcentral. Lineage: Eukaryota; Viridiplantae; Streptophyta; Magnoliopsida; Lamiales; Plantaginaceae.